RNAcentral lists this ribosomal RNA (462 nucleotides) under uncultured bacterium. Its description in RNAcentral is "bacterial SSU rRNA". It matches the Rfam family "Bacterial small subunit ribosomal RNA", at positions 335 to 788 of the family's 1533-position model. The record is from RNAcentral.
ACUCCUACGGGAGGCAGCAGUAGGGAAUCUUCCACAAUGGGCGCAAGCCUGAUGGAGCAACACCGCGUGAGUGAAGAAGGGCUUCGGCUCGUAAAGCUCUGUUGUUAAAGAAGAACACGUAUGAGAGUAACUGUUCAUACGUUGACGGUAUUUAACCAGAAAGUCACGGCUAACUACGUGCCAGCAGCCGCGGUAAUACGUAGGUGGCAAGCGUUAUCCGGAUUUAUUGGGGCGUAAAGAGAGUGCAGGCGGUUUUCCAAGUCUGAUGUGAAAGCCUUCGGCUUAACCGGAGAAGUGCAUCGGAAACUGGAUAACUUGAGUGCAGAAGAGGGUAGUGGAACUCCAUGUGUAGCGGUGGAAUGCGUAGAUAUAUGGAAGAACACCAGUGGCGAAGGCGGCUACCUGGUCUGCAACUGACGCUGAGACUCGAAAGCAUGGGUAGCGAACAGGAUUAGAUACCCU